AGGUCGUUGAGGCAGAGAAGCAUUGCAUGUUUUGGAAUGGCUCCAGCAUGAGUCCAGACGGGUUCGCAGAUGAGGGUUGUCAUGUAGAUUCAGCGAAGAGCAACUCAGUGGAAACAGUUUGUAGAUGCAAUCAUUUGACCUACUUUGCUGUCUUAGUUCACUUUCACAGUGGUGGCACAAAGCUCACCAAGAAGGACGGAACUAUCCUGGCGACAAUCACUUACGUAGGAUUAAGCCUUUCCAUCAUCGGGAUACUUUUGACAAUCAUCCUGUAUUCUUUCGCCACGUAAGCACUGUUACCAGACAAUCAGUUAUGACUUUGAAGCUGAUUCCAUACAGCAGACCAGAACGUGCAAAAAAUCACUGUAAAAGUCUCUCUUGGCAACUACGAUUUUAAAAAAACUUGGUGUUUAUUGGAUUGGAUAAUAAGUAAGUUAAGUCUGUAAAAUGUAUGUUCGUUAUUGACCAAUCGUGAGGUCAAGAUGGCUGGAUAUUGGCCGAGUUCUUUUGUUGCGUUUUUAUGGACGCAAAAAGGAACAAGGGAUUUAACCGGAUAAUCCAGAGUGGGCAAGAUGGGUCCAUCUUGCUGCUCGGGUAGCCAAUCUAUGAAAUAUUUGAUAAGGGACAAGUACCACAUAUUAUCAGUGACAAUAGGGCUCAUCUGCUUUCAGUUCCUUUAAUUCAUAACGGACAUUUAAAAAAUAAAACGCAACUAUGAAAUAGUAAGUCUUUAGUUAGAGCGUUCCUUCCAGCUUCUUUGCAACCAAAUAUACUGGGAAUGUCGAAUAUCUUAUGCAUUUACUGGCAUAUUUUGUGUUUAUUGCAUGUUGGUUUUUUUUCCUUUGACUUUAAUUUUGCUUCUGAUUAUAAUCAUAGGAUUUGUCGUGCGUUCCUCUUUGUCUUAUUUUUCUUUAUUUUCGUUUCUUCGUCAGAGAUGUUCGUCAACCUCUGUCACAAGUACGUUUAAGUCUUUCUGUGUCCCUUAGAGCUGGACAGAUUAUCUUUCUUGUCGGGAUAAA
Molecule: long non-coding RNA, 1019 nt
Organism: Stylophora pistillata
Lineage: Eukaryota; Metazoa; Cnidaria; Anthozoa; Scleractinia; Pocilloporidae
Source: RefSeq, a predicted model, not a curated record